UGUUCCAAAGGCGCAAUGAAAAGCGUGUUGGACUUCUAAUCCAGAGACCGUGGGUUCGAAUCCCACCUGGGAUAA
Non-coding RNA from Trichonephila inaurata madagascariensis, 75 nucleotides. The record is from the annotation of a GenBank genome assembly. NCBI's taxonomy places the organism in Eukaryota, Metazoa, Arthropoda, Arachnida, Araneae, Nephilidae.